GCUGGGCAAGGUGGUGCUUACCUGUAAUCCCAGCAACUCAGGAGUCUGAGGCAGGAGGAUCUCAGAUUUGAGGCCAGUCUAGGCAAUAUAGUAAGACCCUGUCUCAA
This 107-nucleotide small RNA is filed under the name Marmota monax (woodchuck). Lineage: Eukaryota; Metazoa; Chordata; Mammalia; Rodentia; Sciuridae. The record is from RNAcentral.